Molecule: non-coding RNA, 24 nt
Filed under: Arabidopsis thaliana (thale cress)
Lineage: Eukaryota; Viridiplantae; Streptophyta; Magnoliopsida; Brassicales; Brassicaceae
Source: RNAcentral
UAGCUUUGUUUUCCCUUUGCCUCU